AAGUCGUAACAAGGUCUCCGUAGGUGAACCUGCGGAGGGAUCAUUACUGAGUGAGGGCCCUCGUGGUCCGACCUCCAACCCUUUGUCGUCCGACUCUGUUGCCUCGGGGGCGUCCCCGGCGUUCGCGCCAGGGGCCCCCGGCGGUCCACACAACUCUGCAUCUUUGCGUCUGAGUAAACAUUAAAUGAAACAAAACUUUCAACAACGGAUCUCUUGGUUCUG
This 222-nucleotide unclassified non-coding RNA is filed under the name air metagenome. RNAcentral's name for it is "partial contains small subunit ribosomal RNA, internal transcribed spacer 1, and 5.8S ribosomal RNA". The stretch from base 1 to 46 matches the Rfam family "Eukaryotic small subunit ribosomal RNA", at positions 1786 to 1831 of the family's 1831-position model. The record is from RNAcentral.